RNAcentral lists this transfer RNA (73 nucleotides) under Loxodonta africana (African savanna elephant). It matches the Rfam family "tRNA". From Rfam's summary of the family: Transfer RNA (tRNA) molecules are approximately 80 nucleotides in length. Their secondary structure includes four short double-helical elements and three loops (D, anti-codon, and T loops). The record is from Rfam by way of RNAcentral. Lineage: Eukaryota; Metazoa; Chordata; Mammalia; Proboscidea; Elephantidae.
GCCCUGGUGGCUCAGUGGUUAAAGCACUUGGCUGCUAACCAAAAGGCCCAGUGGUUUGAAUCCACCAGCCGCU